CCACCACUAAGCCAGUGGUGAACUCCACAUACGCAUCCUUUGCUGAGGAUACGGUUAACGGAGCGAAAGCGACGUUCAACCGCAAAAGAAGCAGAGGGGGCUUAGUGGUGGGGUGACUGCGUACCUUUUGUAUAAUGGGUCAGCGACUUAUAUUCUGUAGCAAGGUUAACCGAAUAGGGGAGCCGGAGGGAAACCGAGUCUUAACCGGGCGUUAAGUUGCAGGGUAUAGACCCGAAACCCGGUGAUCUAGCCAUGGGCAGGUUGAAGGUUGGGUAACACUAACUGGAGGACCGAACCGACUAAUGUUGAAAAAUUAGCGGAUGACCUGUGGCUGGGGGUGAAAGGCCAAUCAAACCGGGAGAUAGCUGGUUCUCCCCGAAAGCUAUUUAGGUAGCGCCUCGUGAAUUCAUCUCCGGGGGUAGAGCACUGUUUCGGCUAGGGGGCCAUCCCGGCUUACCAACCCGAUGCAAACUGCGAAUACCGGAGAAUGUUAUCACGGGAGACACACGGCGGGUGCUAACGUCCGUCGUGAAGAGGGAAACAACCCAGACCGCCAGCUAAGGUCCCAAAGUCAUGGUUAAGUGGGAAACGAUGUGGGAAGGCCCAGACAGCCAGGAUGUUGGCUUAGAAGCAGCCAUCAUUUAAAGAAAGCGUAAUAGCUCACUGGUCGAGUCGGCCUGCGCGGAAGAUGUAACGGGGCUAAACCAUGCACCGAAGCUGCGGCAGCGAACGUAUCACUUAAAGCGAUUCAGCGGGUUACGAUUGACGGAGCGAAGCGACGUCAAAGCGUAUACAAAGUCGAGUCGGUUUAAGGAUACGUUCGUUGGGUAGGGGAGCGUUCUGUAAGCCUGUGAAGGUGGCCUGUGAGGGUUGCUGG
RNAcentral lists this ribosomal RNA (877 nucleotides) under Salmonella enterica subsp. enterica serovar Dublin. Its description in RNAcentral is "partial 23S ribosomal RNA". It matches the Rfam family "Bacterial large subunit ribosomal RNA", at positions 1 to 1276 of the family's 2925-position model. The record is from RNAcentral. Lineage: Bacteria; Pseudomonadati; Pseudomonadota; Gammaproteobacteria; Enterobacterales; Enterobacteriaceae.